This 668-nucleotide ribosomal RNA is filed under the name uncultured fungus. Its description in RNAcentral is "eukaryotic LSU rRNA". The stretch from base 255 to 408 matches the Rfam family "5.8S ribosomal RNA". Lineage: Eukaryota; Fungi. The record is from RNAcentral.
AGUAAAAGUCGUAACAAGGUUUCCGUAGGUGAACCUGCGGAAGGAUCAUUAUCGAGUUUUGAAACGGGUUGUAGCUGACCUCAAUUGGGGUAUGUGCACGCCUGGCUCAUUCCACUCUCAAACCCCUGUGCACUUAUUGUAGGCUUGGUGGGAUAGGCUGACUUUCAUUAGGUCGGUCUUGAAAGCUUCGCCUAUGUUUCAAUACAAACGCUUCAGUUUAGAAUGUAAUCAUUGCUAACAAGCAAAUUAAAUACAACUUUCAGCAACGGAUCUCUUGGCUCUCGCAUCGAUGAAGAACGCAGCGAAAUGCGAUAAGUAAUGUGAAUUGCAGAAUUCAGUGAAUCAUCGAAUCUUUGAACGCACCUUGCGCUCUUUGGUAUUCCGAAGAGCAUGCCUGUUUGAGUGUCAUGGUAUCAUCAACCUUCAACACUUUUGUGAUUGAAGGCUUGGAUUUGGAGGUUGUGUCGGUGCAUUCGUAUCGACUCCUCUGAAAUGUAUUAGCGUGAAUCUUACGGAUCGCCUUCGGUGUGAUAAUUACUGCGCCGUGGACGUGAAGUAUAACAGUGUUCGUGCUUACAAUCGUCUUUAACAGAGACAACACUUUGACAAUCUGACCUCAAAUCAGGUAGGGUUACCCGCUGAACUUAAGCAUAUCAAUAAGCGGAGGA